GGUCCUUAGACAGUGAACCUCUUUAGCUGUUUAGUUGAAGUCAUUGGUAUAUUUAAAUAUUUAAAUAGGUUUGUGCAGGAGAACCUUCUGAUUCUAAGUUUGAGCCUAGGAGGAUGGGCUGAGUCAGAACUCACUGUUCCCAAAAUGGUCCAGGAACACUUUCUGCCAGCUAGACUGCAGGAUGAGUGAGUCAUCCAGGGGGGAAAGAAUCAUCCACUGUAUUUUAUUAAUGGAAAAUUUGUCAUUCUGCUUUUAAUUGAAGGAUUAAAAGGGAGAAACAAGAACAGUUUAGAUUUGAAUUCCUGUAUGAUUUAGGCUUCCAGGCCUCAGAGAUUUCUCCCAGACAGACAAAGACGGCAAGGCCUGGUCAAGAGAUACUGCCUUUGCUUGGUCUCCCCUCAAGCAUACUGUGAGACAAGGAUUCAAGGUGAUUUAUUCAAGGUCAUCCCAGGAAAUAGCAGCAGGCAGGUAAGCAAGCUAGAAAGGGAAGGAUAGGGAACCAGCAAAUAAUUCAGCAUCAAGCAAGUUACUCCUUUGGUUAAACUGGUACUCCUCCCCUCUGAGGAAUUACAGGACACCCUGUGGAAGGUACACUUCAAGGCAUUCCAUCCAAGAGAGCAAGGAAGCUGAAGUGUUCCAUCCACCAAUCUCUCAGCAUUGAUUGAUGGCUACUUCUGAGAUCAAUAACUGGUACUUCCUGUUUACCUGGAAUGGGCCAAGCUUCUCUUAUGUUGAGAAAGUGACAGAUAUUUUCGGUGAUCAGCCUUGGGUGUGCAGAAGUGAAUGCUGAGGGAAUAUGGAGCUGCAUACCUCAACAGCAACUACAGAUUGGGCAGCAAAAGGAGCCACUCGUGGACCUCACACAGCCAGCAAAGAAGGCAGAAGGCUUUGCUGACCAUAUUCCUCACUCACCAGAGGGGCAGUGCAUACAGAUCCUGCUGUGGGAUGAAGGUAAAGUGCCUGAGUUAUAGAUAGAUACGUCACUGGCUGAAGAGUACUGAGUGACUUGGUAUGUGCUUGUACAAGAUUUCGGACAGCAGCUGGAAACUAUCAGAAGAUUUUUGAAAUAGUUUGAAGAAAGAGGAAGGCCUGAACUAAAUCUUGGGAGUAUGAAUAGAAGGGGGAUGGCUUCAUGAUAUCUCAUCUCUGGGGCUUUGCAUAUUCCUCCUGCUUUACCUGGACUAGGUUGCCCUUAUUCUCUUAAGCUCAGUGCUAACUUCUUUGUGAAGAUUUCCAUAAGAAGAUUCAUAUAUAUCUUCUCUGUAUACUUUCUACCUUAUAAAUAAAUCAGUUUUAACAGGGAAGUAUUUUGUUGAA
Molecule: long non-coding RNA, 1317 nt
Filed under: Sus scrofa (pig)
Lineage: Eukaryota; Metazoa; Chordata; Mammalia; Artiodactyla; Suidae
Description: lncRNA (ENSSSCG00060003537.1)
Source: RNAcentral